UACGUAGGUGGCAAGCGUUGUCCGGAUUUAUUGGGUUUAAAGGGUGCGUAGGAGGGCAGGUAAGUCAGUGGUGAAAUCCUAGAGCUUAACUCUAGAACUGCCGUUGAUACUAUCUGUCUUGAAUAUUGUGGAGGUGAGCGGAAUAUGUCAUGUAGCGGUGAAAUGCUUAGAUAUGACAUAGAACACCAAUUGCGAAGGCAGCUCGCUACACAUAUAUUGACUCUGAGGCACGAAAGCGUGGGGAUCAAACAGG
RNAcentral lists this ribosomal RNA (253 nucleotides) under uncultured bacterium. RNAcentral's name for it is "partial 16S ribosomal RNA". It matches the Rfam family "Bacterial small subunit ribosomal RNA", at positions 524 to 776 of the family's 1533-position model. The record is from RNAcentral.